GAUGAACGCUGGCGGCGUGCCUAAUACAUGCAAGUCGAGCGAACGGACGAGAAGCUGGCUUCUCUGAUGUUAGCGGCGGACGGGUGAGUAACACGUGGAUAACCUACCUAUAAGACUGGGAUAACUUCGUGAAACCGGAGCUAAUACCGUAUGAUAUUUUGAACCGCAUGGUUCAAAAGUGUAAGACGGUCUUGCUGUCACUUAUAGAUGGAUCCGCGCUGCAUUAGCUAGUUGGUAAGGUAACGGCUUACCAAGGCAACGAUGCAUAGCCGACCUGAGAGGGUGAUCGGCCACACUGGAACUGAGACACGGUCCAGACUCCUACGGGAGGCAGCAGUAGGGAAUCUUCCGCAAUGGGCGAAAGCCUGACGGAGCAACGCCGCGUGAGUGAUGAAGGUCUUCGGAUCGUAAACCUCUGUUAUUAGGGAAGAACAUAUGUGUAAGUAACUGUGCACAUCUUGACGGUACCUAAUCAGAAAGCAACGGCUAACUACGUG
RNAcentral lists this ribosomal RNA (497 nucleotides) under uncultured bacterium. RNAcentral's name for it is "partial 16S ribosomal RNA". It matches the Rfam family "Bacterial small subunit ribosomal RNA", at positions 28 to 507 of the family's 1533-position model. The record is from RNAcentral.